CAGAAUUACUUCGAUGUUGUUUUAUCUUAGUGUUCCUCACUUUUUAUUUUUGAACCUUACUGGACAUUUACAUUCCUUCAGAGCUCCAUUUUUAUUUGGAUUUUAUUUGGUUUAAUGAGUUCUCCUUGUUUACUCCUACCAAGAAUAGCAUUUGUAUCUCUCAUCUUUUCUUUUUGAAACUGCAUGGUGCACUUGAAAAAACAUGUUUCCAGGGUCAUUCUAUAUAGUUCGAACUUAUUAGUAGCUCUCUCACAAAGCUGGAUCAAUGUCUUGACUGUUUUUUUCCUCGACCUGUCUGGAUUGGAUGAACUUUAACUUGAACUUUUGGUUCAACUAUAGCCACAGCAAAGAGACGCAGGCAUAUGGGGAAAUAUUCCAAUAACCAAACACACGUCAUAUCUUUCACGCAGAGGGAAAUCAGUAUGCAACUAUUCCAACACAUGUGUCAUGCUGGAAGUAUCACGACUGAGAGAAGGAGUGCUGCCGUGCCGUUUGUUUAAGACCGCAGUGAGACUUUUGGAAAAUUCAGCUAGAUCAAAAAGUAAGCAUAUUCCUGAAUGAAAAUCACGAUGAUCGCAUCAGCAAAGUCUGG
Molecule: long non-coding RNA, 592 nt
Filed under: Bemisia tabaci
Lineage: Eukaryota; Metazoa; Arthropoda; Insecta; Hemiptera; Aleyrodidae
Description: lncRNA ENSASIAIIG012527
Source: RNAcentral